Molecule: transfer RNA, 71 nt
Filed under: Grammatobothus polyophthalmus (threespot flounder)
Lineage: Eukaryota; Metazoa; Chordata; Actinopteri; Pleuronectiformes; Bothidae
Description: tRNA-Trp
Rfam family: tRNA
About the family: Transfer RNA (tRNA) molecules are approximately 80 nucleotides in length.
Source: RNAcentral
AGGGGCUUAGGUUAGAUCCAAACCGGGGGCCUUCAAAGCCCCAACCGGGAGUGAAAAUCUCUCAGCCCCUG